UACGAUGAUGGUUUCAACAUAUGC
Molecule: non-coding RNA, 24 nt
Filed under: Arabidopsis thaliana (thale cress)
Lineage: Eukaryota; Viridiplantae; Streptophyta; Magnoliopsida; Brassicales; Brassicaceae
Source: RNAcentral